GCCUUCGUGGUGUAGUGGUCAGCACCCUGAGCCGGUAUUUCAGAGGUCCGUGGUUCGAUUCCCGGCGAAGGCC
Non-coding RNA from Stegodyphus mimosarum, 73 nucleotides. NCBI's taxonomy places the organism in Eukaryota, Metazoa, Arthropoda, Arachnida, Araneae, Eresidae. The record is from Rfam.